GAUGAACGCUGGCGGCGUGCCUAAUACAUGCAAGUCGAGCGAACAGACGAGGAGCUUGCUCCUCUGACGUUAGCGGCGGACGGGUGAGUAACACGUGGAUAACCUACCUAUAAGACUGGGAUAACUUCGGGAAACCGGAGCUAAUACCGGAUAAUAUAUUGAACCGCAUGGUUCAAUAGUGAAAGACGGUUUUGCUGUCACUUAUAGAUGGAUCCGCGCCGCAUUAGCUAGUUGGUAAGGUAACGGCUUACCAAGGCAACGAUGCGUAGCCGACCUGAGGGGGUGACCGCCCACCCUGAACCUGGACCCCGGCCCAACCCCCACGGGAGGCAGCAGUAGGGAAUCUUCCGCAAUGGGCGAAAGCCUGACGGAGCAACGCCGCGUGAGUGAUGAAGGUCUUCGGAUCGUAAAACUCUGUUAUUAGGGAAGAACAAAUGUGUAAGUAACUAUGCACGUCUUGACGGUACCUAAUCAGAAAGCCACGGCUAACUACGUG
Molecule: ribosomal RNA, 496 nt
Filed under: uncultured bacterium
Lineage: Bacteria
Description: partial 16S ribosomal RNA
Rfam family: Bacterial small subunit ribosomal RNA
Source: RNAcentral